AUGUGCAAGGAGCUGCUGCUGUGCAAUGGCCUGGCUGUGCAAGGUGCUGUGCAUGGAGCUGUGCAAGGAGCUGAGCAAGGUGCCGUGCAAAUGCCCUGCUGUGCAAGGAGCUGGUGCUGUGCAAGAUGCCAUGCAAAGGUUUGGCUGUGCAAGGAGCUGAGCAAGCUGUUAUGCAACAUGCAAAGUGCUGGUGCUGUGCAAGGCGCCAUGCAAAGGCCCUGCUGUGCAAGGAGCUGGCGCUGUGCAAAGCCCAGCUGUGCAAGGUGCUGUGCAAGGUGCAAAGCCCAGCUGUGCAAGGUGCUGUGCAAGGUGCCAGUGUUGUGCAAGGUGCUGUGCAAAGCGCUGUGUGCUGUGCACGGUGCCAUGCAAGCUCCUGUGCAUUGUGCAAGGUGCAACACAAAGGUCUGGCCCUGCAAGGAGCUGAGCAAAGUGCGAGGAGCUGAGCAAGGUCCCUGUGUCCCAAUGUCCCAAUGUCCCCAUAUCCCUAUGUCCCUAUAUCCCAAUGUCCCUAUAUCCCUAUAUCCCAAUGUCCCUGUAUCCCAAUGUCCCUAUAUCCCAAUGUCCCUAUAUCCCAAUGUCCCCCUAUGUCCCUAUAUCCCAAGGUCCCUAUAUCCCUAUAUCCCUAUGUCCCUAUAUCCCAAUGUCCCCCUAUAUCCCUAUAUCCCAAUGUCCCUAUACCCCAAUGUCCCUAUACCCCAAUGUCCCUAUAUCCCAAUGUCCCUAUGUCCCUAUGUACCCAUAUCCCCAUGUCCCUAUAAUCCUAUAUCCCCACGUCCCCAUAUCCCUAUGUACCCCUGUUCCUAUAUCCCCAUAUGCCUAUAUCCCUAUGUACCCAUGUCCCUAUAUCCCCAUACCCCUAUAUCCAAUGACCCCAUAUUCCUAUGUACCCAUGUUCCCAUAACCCCAUGUCCCUAUAUCCCCAUGUCCCUAUAUUGCCAUACCCCCAUAUCCCCAUACCCCCAUGUCCCUAUAUCCCCCUAUAUCCCCAUACCCCCAUAUCCCUAUCCUACCUAUAUCCCCACCCCACAGCCCCACCCUAUGGGUACAGAACCCCACAGCCUGACCCUAUGGGUUUAG
RNAcentral lists this long non-coding RNA (1077 nucleotides) under Coturnix japonica (Japanese quail). RNAcentral's name for it is "lncRNA (ENSCJPG00005005765.1)". The record is from RNAcentral. Lineage: Eukaryota; Metazoa; Chordata; Aves; Galliformes; Phasianidae.